RNAcentral lists this ribosomal RNA (1227 nucleotides) under Triticum aestivum (bread wheat). RNAcentral's name for it is "partial small subunit ribosomal RNA". The record is from RNAcentral. Lineage: Eukaryota; Viridiplantae; Streptophyta; Magnoliopsida; Poales; Poaceae.
AUGCAGCCACCGCUGGAGCUCUCGCCGCCGGCACCCGCCCCUAGAGAAGUGGUCGUCGCAGAGUGGCCAUCUAAGAAAAUCUGCCACUGCUUGGUCUCUACCUCAGCCUCAUCUGAACAACGUGUUUGGGCGGACCUACCAGACAGCCUGCUUCACCUAAUCAUUGCUCUCUUAAGCUCAUUCCAUGACCUCCUUGCUUUUACUGGCACCUGUCACUCUUGGCGUGCUGCGGUCUUUUCCUUCCCAUCAUCCAUAUAUGCCUUUGUCUUCCCACCUCUCCAUCUCAAGGCAGGUUUGCGUAGGGCUAAUUGGCAUUGCAACACAAGUUACAAUCUCUUAUCGAACUACAAAUGGCAUCUUUGUGAUCUUGUGAGGACAAACUUAUCUCUUCGCCGCUCAGCUCCCCGUAAUACUCCAAAUUACAUGCGCUAUUUGGGCUGCUCAUAUGGGCAUCUUAUCUUCUCCUGUGUGGAGCACCUUCUCCUUGUCGAUGUUUACACAUGUACUAAGGUGAAGCCACCCAAACUCCACACCAACAGCGAUUGUGUGAUCGAUAGUGCCAUUCUUAUGGCUCCACUCAGUUCAUCCAACUCGUGUCUCCUCCUUUUCUCGAAUUUAUUCAUCUUCCAGUGGCAGGUUGGAACAAAUUCGUGGACAGAGUACCCUCUUGUUUCUGAACACUUUCUUAUUCAGAUUGUUUUGUUCAAAGGUCAGAUGUUUGCCAUAGACUUUCCCCAGACGCUGAAAACCAUAUCCUUGGCACCUCAGCCCAACGUGCAGGAAGUCGAUGUUGUGUGGGGAGAGGACAUUGUUGUUGGCUUGAAUUAUGAUCCAUGGUUGGUGGUCUGUGGUGACAUGCUUCUCAUGGUUGAUCUUGUUGAUGACUUGAUAAGCAAUGGCACCUUUCAGGUCUUCCGCUUUGAUUCUUCAGCCGAACCAGCUAAGUGGACAAAGAUGGAGAAGUUGGAAAACUGGGCCCUCUUUAUCAGCCUUGAUAGGAGGAGCCCUACAUUUUCUUGCAUGAACCCUGAAAAAUGGGGCGGAAAGAGUAACUGCAUUUAUGUUCCAAGUGCGUCCAAAGACUCUGAUGAACCUUGGAUUGCUGUAGAGCUUGGUCAGGCAGUUUACAGUAUAACUCGCUCGGAUUCAUACAUUCUAGAAGGCAAAAGCAAUCAGCUUGAGAGCCUCUGGGUGCUCCCCAGUUUGGUCUAUGGUGUUGGCCAGUGA